This 677-nucleotide ribosomal RNA is filed under the name Microbacterium sp. H95. Its description in RNAcentral is "bacterial SSU rRNA". It matches the Rfam family "Bacterial small subunit ribosomal RNA", at positions 68 to 755 of the family's 1533-position model. The record is from RNAcentral. Lineage: Bacteria; Bacillati; Actinomycetota; Actinomycetes; Micrococcales; Microbacteriaceae.
GGUGAACACGGAGCUUGCUCUGUGGGAUCAGUGGCGAACGGGUGAGUAACACGUGAGCAACCUGCCCCUGACUCUGGGAUAAGCGCUGGAAACGGCGUCUAAUACUGGAUAUGUGACGUGACCGCAUGGUCUGCGUCUGGAAAGAAUUUCGGUUGGGGAUGGGCUCGCGGCCUAUCAGCUUGUUGGUGAGGUAAUGGCUCACCAAGGCGUCGACGGGUAGCCGGCCUGAGAGGGUGACCGGCCACACUGGGACUGAGACACGGCCCAGACUCCUACGGGAGGCAGCAGUGGGGAAUAUUGCACAAUGGGCGCAAGCCUGAUGCAGCAACGCCGCGUGAGGGACGACGGCCUUCGGGUUGUAAACCUCUUUUAGCAGGGAAGAAGCGAAAGUGACGGUACCUGCAGAAAAAGCGCCGGCUAACUACGUGCCAGCAGCCGCGGUAAUACGUAGGGCGCAAGCGUUAUCCGGAAUUAUUGGGCGUAAAGAGCUCGUAGGCGGUUUGUCGCGUCUGCUGUGAAAUCCGGAGGCUCAACCUCCGGCCUGCAGUGGGUACGGGCAGACUAGAGUGCGGUAGGGGAGAUUGGAAUUCCUGGUGUAGCGGUGGAAUGCGCAGAUAUCANGAGGAACACCGAUGGCGAAGGCAGAUCUCUGGGGCCGUAACUGACGCUGAGGAGCG